RNAcentral lists this long non-coding RNA (541 nucleotides) under Coturnix japonica (Japanese quail). RNAcentral describes it as "lncRNA (ENSCJPG00005003169.1)". The record is from RNAcentral. Lineage: Eukaryota; Metazoa; Chordata; Aves; Galliformes; Phasianidae.
CUUUUGAAUUCUGGAAUCUCCAAUUCGAAAUUGUAUUGUUUCUCUGCUGUGAAUUGGAAUAGACAGGUAAUACAAGGCCAGGUGAACUGUAUCAAGAUGGAAUUUUUAUUAAUUUGGCAUGUUUGCAAAAUGCUUUUAGUCUGGAUGGCAAUCAAAGCUCUGAGAUUUGAACUGAUGUCAAACCCUUAGGACAACUUCUUGGUGUUACCACAUGCAUGAUGACUGCAGAAAGCUCCAAAAAUCUACCAAAUAUCAUGUAUUCAGUGAAUUUGGAAUACCCAAAGCAUUCUUUUGAUUCUCCAGUGGAAAGAUACUUGAAUGUCUUCGAUGUCGGCAAUGCUGAAGAGCAGCCAUGUGAAAUGCAUGAACAGAGGAGUGGUUUUCAGGUUUAGACAGAGUCAGCCUGAUGGUGUCUAGCGCUAUUAUUCUUCUUGCCACUUAUGUAUGCCUCCUCACAGACUAUGAUAUCACAACUCAUUAAUCAGACAGCAGGCUGGCUUGAGUGAGAUCAGAGCAUGGGCCAAUGCCAGUGCUCCUUUUG